This 323-nucleotide ribosomal RNA is filed under the name uncultured Cavernomonas. RNAcentral's name for it is "SSU rRNA". The stretch from base 106 to 323 matches the Rfam family "Eukaryotic small subunit ribosomal RNA", at positions 736 to 955 of the family's 1831-position model. Lineage: Eukaryota; Cercozoa; Cercomonadida; Cercomonadidae. The record is from RNAcentral.
GAUUUCUGGCUUUGGCGCGCUUGGCCCGCCGCGGUUUCGCGUGUGCGUGCCGAUGUGUGCCGGUCAUCCUUCGAGAGAGCCGUUCUACUCUUUACUGGGUCGGAACGGUCAUCUCGAUCUUUUACUUUGAAAAAAUUAGAGUGUUCAAAGCAGGCUUACGCUAUGAAUACAUUAGCAUGGAAUAAUAAUUUAGGACUUUGGUCUUAUUUUGUUGGUUUCUAAGACUGAAGUAAUGAUUGAUAGGGAUAGUUGGGGGUGCUAGUAUUCAGCGGCCAGAGGUGAAAUUCUUGGAUUCGCUGAAGACUAACUUAUGCGAAAGCAUU